UACGUAGGGAGCAAGCGUUGUCCGGAUUUACUGGGUGUAAAGGGUGCGUAGGCGGUAACACAAGUCAGGCGUGAAAUACCGGGGCUCAACUCCGGGGCUGCGCUUGAAACUGUGUUUCUUGAGUGAAGUAGAGGCAGGCGGAAUUCCUAGUGUAGCGGUGGAAUGCGUAGAUAUUAGGAGGAACACCAGUGGCGAAGGCGGCCUGCUGGGCUUUAACUGACGCUGAUGCACGAAAGCAUGGGGAGCAAACAGG
Molecule: ribosomal RNA, 253 nt
Filed under: uncultured bacterium
Lineage: Bacteria
Description: partial 16S ribosomal RNA
Rfam family: Bacterial small subunit ribosomal RNA
Source: RNAcentral